UCCCCAGUGGCUCAGUGGUAAAGGAUCUGCCUGUAAUGCAGGAGACCUGGGUUUAAUCCCUGGGUUGGGAA
RNAcentral lists this transfer RNA (71 nucleotides) under Bos taurus (domestic cattle). It matches the Rfam family "tRNA". From Rfam's summary of the family: Transfer RNA (tRNA) molecules are approximately 80 nucleotides in length. The record is from Rfam by way of RNAcentral. Lineage: Eukaryota; Metazoa; Chordata; Mammalia; Artiodactyla; Bovidae. RNAcentral also lists the same sequence under 2 other names.